This 253-nucleotide ribosomal RNA is filed under the name uncultured bacterium. Its description in RNAcentral is "partial 16S ribosomal RNA". It matches the Rfam family "Bacterial small subunit ribosomal RNA", at positions 524 to 776 of the family's 1533-position model. The record is from RNAcentral.
UACAGAGGGUGCGAGCGUUACUCGGAAUUACUGGGCGUAAAGCGCGCGUAGGCGGCUUUGCAAGUCGGGUGUGAAAUCCCCAGGCUUAACCUGGGAACUGCAUUCGAGACUGCAUUGCUAGAGUAUGGGAGAGGGAAGUGGAAUUUCCGGUGUAGCGGUGAAAUGCGUAGAUAUCGGAAGGAACAUCAGUGGCGAAAGCGACUUCCUGGACCAGUACCGACGUUCAGGCACGAAAGCGUGGGGAGCAAACAGG